Long non-coding RNA from Quercus lobata, 755 nucleotides. RefSeq lists it as uncharacterized. NCBI's taxonomy places the organism in Eukaryota, Viridiplantae, Streptophyta, Magnoliopsida, Fagales, Fagaceae. The record is from RefSeq and is a predicted model, not a curated record. The transcript is spliced from 4 exons.
CGAUUGCUGUGUUUUUGAAAAAAAAAAACCCUACGUUCUCUUCAGUCUUCGCCUCCCUCAGCUUUCUGCCUCCCUCCCUCAUCUCUCUCUUUAUUCCUCAAAGGUUUAAACCUCAUCCUUACAAGCCAGUUUCAAGCUAUUUGCUCCAUUUGUCUCUGUGUUUUUAACUAAAGAGCUCUUCUGCCUCUCUCUGGGGUUUCACUAUUUUGCUUUUCGCCAAGGUUAGAGACUCCUCAAUACUCUUCAUCAUUGACUACAUGAGGGAUGGAGGAAGAAUAAUAUGAUAGAAAACAAAGCCCACAACUAGGAAAUAUGCUAUAUAAGCACCUAAUAUCCAUCCUCUCUUAUUGGGUCAACCCCAUGUGUAUGAAGCCAAGUUUAAUGUUGGAGCUUGAAGAAGUGCUUACAUGCAGGAUUACUGAAAAGAAACUUUUUUUUGACAACUAAGCAUUCUAUCCAGCAAUGGAUUGCUGUAAUUUGUUUCACGACUAAGCAUUUUGUUGUAAUGUAAAGCUUUAGAUAUCUUGUCAUAGUUUUUCAUUUCUGGCUCUUUAGUGCUUGUGUUGGUUUUUAUGCAUUUGUUUUGCUUUCUCAAAGUUCUAACACUGUUUGGAGAGUACACAACAGAAUGAAAUGAAUUAGAGUGGAUAGGUUAUAAAUGAAUGGAAUGUGGAGGACUAUAUUAUUUUCUUUUGUUUGGUGUGCUUUGGAGUUGCAUAAUAGAAGGAAUGGAAAGAAGAGAUAUCAUACUUGCA